Molecule: non-coding RNA, 127 nt
Organism: Amborella trichopoda
Lineage: Eukaryota; Viridiplantae; Streptophyta; Magnoliopsida; Amborellales; Amborellaceae
Source: Rfam
AAAAGCAGGGACCUGUUUUUCUUAUGAACUGGUCUCUAGUAAGCCGCAUGAAAUUGCUUGCAUUAUUAUUUGGUGAGUCUUUGUACGCACACUGGUAACAAAAGAUUCAUUGAAUGGUAAGACAUUC